UAAUUUGUGAAAACGUUUCGUUCUUGCAAAAAAGGCCCUGCAGUUUGGGGUAUUCAACCCGCGUUCCGACCACACACAGAGCACGGGCGCCUCCUCUCCUUCUCGCCCGAGGAAGUCCUCGCCGCCGCCAGCACCCACGCCGCCUGCUUCCGGCGAGCUCCGGUGCCGCGCAGCACGCCCCCGAGCUCCCCGCGGUCUGCGCCUCCCUCUCCUCCUUCCAGAUUCUCUGCUCCCGGCCUCUACCGCCCGCUUGCAACCCCACCCGGCCCCGUGGCUAGGGUUUCUGGCAGGGCUUCGCCGGCACGUCUCCGGCGGCCCCAGGUUCGUCUCCUUCCUUUCGGUCAAGUCUUGGUGGAGGUGGGGCGGUUCCUAUUUCUCGCCUACCCGUGCACGCGAUCGACAGAAAAAAAAAACCAUCCCCAAUUCGAGCGGCCGCGCCACCCACCGAUGGAUCCGCGGCCUCCCCGCCGCCGGCAUGCCAUCCUCCGCCACGCCGUCCUCCCCGCACCCUGGCCUGCCUCCUCUCCGCCGCACCCUCCUCCCCGCGCCGUCCGAGACUCCGAGUCCUCCGGGCGCGGUUCACCGACGCCGAGGACUAGGCCGCCGUUCUCCGGGCAUGCGCAGGCCGGCUCGAGCGCGCGCCGCCGAACGCAACCAGCUGCUCAACACGCUCCUCGCUGCUGCGGGAAACGGCCGGGAGGAGGAGGAUGCGCGGGAGGCGGGGCAGCGUCAGAAUGAACGUGCUUCGGAUCUGGCCGAGGCUUACGGCGACACGGACGCGGAGGGUCUGGCCGCGGCCGCCGCGCUCCCUCCGGUCACUACCUUCCCAUGAGCUCACUUCCACCCUAGCCUCUCCCCCUUUCCUCUUUGUUGUUUUAACUGAUUCCCAACUGCUUGAUCAAUCCCGCUCCUCUGCUCCUGCAUGAUGGCUUUCUCUGUUCGAUUGCUUAAUUUGGUUGUGUCUUACCUGAACUGCAAGGGAACCAACAUACAUGGCAUGAUGGAUGGAGACCAGUAUAUGUUUUUUUGUUCUGUUCACAUUCUUUCUAAUAGUUUCCAUCGGAUUAUAGCCAUGAGCUUUGAGCAAUAGGCAUAAAUCUGUUGUAAUCAAUCAAAGACAGUGAGAACGUUUACUGAAAUCUUUCGAAGUGGGGAUCCUAUGAAUUUCUUUGGUUGAACGUCCAUCGAUGAUCUCAUCUUAUAGUAACUCACUUUGAAACAUUGUAUUGGUAGUUUUUAUCUUUACACUUUUGCCGUCUAUACAUACUGGAUUGCAUUGUUUAGGACAUGACACAGCGCUGAUGGCUCAUGGCACCCAUGUUUCAGUAUGCAGUCAAGCAGGCAACAAGGGAUCCGUGGGACGAGGCCAAGGUGUACGUGGGCAACCUUCCCUACGACGUUAGCAGCGAGCGCCUCGUGCAGCUCUUCGAGCAGGAUGGCGUCAUCGAGGUCACCGUGUCGAUAUGUGGUAUCGGUGACAGAAGGUGCAUCACACGCUUGGGUAUUUUCUUCUGCAUGAGGUAAAGUACCAAAGGUGUUUUCAAUAUGUAAUUAGCACCCAUACUUAGCAUCAAGCUUUGAUAGAGGGGAUGCUUAGAUGAUUUUUGAUUCUACGGUAUUUAUUUUCUCUAUCUCUGAGCAUCUACACAGGCAACCCGCAUUAUAGAUGAUAUUAGCCUGCUGCGAGUGUCGUUCCUCUAGAUACACACACACACACGCGCGCAUUUUGCCUGGUGAAGGGAAUGCCUCAAAUCAUCGGACCCCUGAUUAUGCGUCAUGUUCGUGCAAGACUGAAACUGACACAAUAGGUUCUAGAUGUAAAUGAUGUCUGCUUUAAUGUGGUGGUUGUGUUGUUGAAGCUCAUAUGGAGUGUUUAUGCAUAACUGAAGUGGCACAUUUAGUUCUGGAAUAUCCAACAGCCUCCAAAACUUCUGAAAGCAAAGAGGUGGAGAACCAUCCUCUAGGCUCUCCUGUACCCCCACAGAUUAUUUUUCUUCCAAAAGUAUUGAUAAACCCAGCAAGUUUUCAGUGCAAUUCCACAUCCAAAUGUUGUUAUUCAGGUUGUCAUCAACUCAUCAUACUAUAUCAGCUUCAAUGUUAAUUUUUUCUCUCAAGUAGUCCAUAAAUAUGUGAACCUGACCACUCAAAACUACUGCAGGGGUAGGAUUUCUGCAGUAUCCCUUGGCUGGUUAAUCUGUUUGGACUAGAAUUUUCUGAAUUGUAGUAAAGCUUGGCAACUACAGAAUACAUUGUCUCGAGGUAUAAUAGCACUUGAUUCUCUAACAAUCGUUGAUUCAUGAAUUGCAGCAGGGUGAACCCAAGGCCCCUCCUGUGAAUCCCAUUGCUUACAAUUAUUUCAUGAUUGAGAUCUUGAAUUUAACAUUUAGUAUUUUCUUGUUUAUUUUCUUUCUUUUGGAGGAGAACAAGAUGCAGCUUGUAAUGUGUGAAUUUACAACUUUAGUUGAAUAAACAGAAUAUAUCAAUUGUAAGUUCAUGUAUAGAAAAUUCAAUCCUUGCAUAGGUUUUGUAUUAUAUAUAGUUAACUCAGUAUAGUUUACAUUUUUCCAUCUUUCUCCGGGAGCUCUUCAGAUAUCAUCUACACCUCAGACAAGUAACAUUAACUUGCUAAAAGCAAGAAAAGUAACACAAGGUUUGCAAGUUUGACAAAGUUUCCCUCCGUUCUUGAAUGUAGCUAUUUUUAUUUUCUUUUUAUUCAGACUGUUGUUGGCAUGUCGACAAAAAUAUUAACUGCACAUUGUUGCUAGCUGUGACGUUUUGUCAAAGUUGAAUAGAAGAAAGUGGAUUUGUAAACAGAGUGACAACGCCAAUUAUUUUUCUCCUGGUGUGCUAGAUCAAAAGGAAAAGGAGGAAGUAUGUUCAUGCACUGGAAGUUUUACUGAGUCAUGAUGCACAUUGAGUUAGUGCUGUGUUUUCCUUUUCUUUUGAGACAAUUGUUGUAUAAUGGAAAAGGUACACUACCGUUGGGGUGAAACCCAUCAUAUUUCUAAUGGUAUAUAACCAAAAUCGGGGUGAGACAAGAUAUUAUACUGAAAGUUUCAGGUUUGCGAGCAUAAAUUGAUUCCUUUUUCCUGUUGCAAUGCACGUGCAAGUUUGGCAUACAACGAUGAUAUCUAAUUGCAUUGUUUCUUAAUUUUUUAUUUCUAUUUUGUUUUUUCCCUAAAAAUAAAUUUCGGAUUGAUGGCGCCCCCUAUUUUUUAUUUCUUUU
This is a long non-coding RNA of Triticum aestivum (bread wheat), 3226 nucleotides long. RefSeq lists it as uncharacterized. NCBI's taxonomy places the organism in Eukaryota, Viridiplantae, Streptophyta, Magnoliopsida, Poales, Poaceae. The record is from RefSeq and is a predicted model, not a curated record. The transcript has 3 exons.